Molecule: ribosomal RNA, 495 nt
Filed under: uncultured bacterium
Lineage: Bacteria
Description: partial 16S ribosomal RNA
Rfam family: Bacterial small subunit ribosomal RNA
Source: RNAcentral
GACGAACGCUGGCGGCGUGCCUAAUACAUGCAAGUAGAACGCUGAAGGAGGAGCUUUCUUCUCCGGAUGAGUUGCGAACGGGUGAGUAACGCGUAGGUAACCUGCCUGGUAGCGGGGGAUAACUCUUGGAAACGAUAGCUAAUACCGCAUAACAGUAGAUGUUGCAUGACAUUUGCUUAAAAGGUGCAAUUUCAUCACUACCAGAUGGACCUGCGUUGUAUUAUGUAGUUGGUGAGGUAACGGCUCAACAAGGCGACGAUACAUAGCCGACCUGAGGGGGGGAUAGGCCACACUGGGAAUGAGACACGGCCCAGACUCCUACGGGAGGCAGCAGUAGGGAAUCUUCGGCAAUGGAGGGAAGGCUGAACGAGCAACGGCGCGUGAGUGAAGAAGGGUUUCGGAUCGGAAAGAUCUGUUGUAAGAGAAGAAAGAGUGUGAGAGUGGAAAGUGCACACUGUGACGGUAUCUUACCAGAAAGGGACGGCUAACUACGUG